AGGUGAUGUUUAAAAAGUGACCAGCAUUGAUGGACCCCAGCACCAGCAAAAACAUUUUCCUCGGAGAUUUCACUUACUAGUUCCCUGAGUAACCUGAAAUGUGCUUUUCUCAUGUCCAUUUUGUUGCAAGUACUUACAAACUGCAGCCUACCAGGGAUAUUUUCAGCAGGGAUCUGCACACAGGCAGCAAGCUACGCGCAAACGGCUGAGCACUUUCCAGAAACUGCAUAACAUAUUUCAAGAGUAUGCUCCGCUUGCUCUCAGAGAGGAAGCAUCCACUGAGCUUCUGGAGACAGGCUACUGAAUAGGAGAUAAAGCACCUGAUGAAGAAUAUGGCUGCAUACCACCUUUGGAGAAAGGGGCAGAGUGAAGAGGCACAAGCUCUUAGAAAAUAAUACCAGUUAACAUAAGUGAGAAGGUAAUAGGUGUUUGAAAGCAUAGUCAGCCUAAGGAACUUAGUUUCAGCUAUAAAAAAUUGAAUGGAAGAAGGUAAUUUUUAUAUUCAUCACGUAAUUCCAUUUAAAAUCUGUGCCUAAUUUAGUAAAAAGGAAAACUAGAACUAGAUUUGCAGCACAUUUUAUGUAUCUUUAUAUGCAGAUUUACUUUGGCUGUAAAGCUCAAGGAGGAGCUUUACCAAAUGGCAAGCAUACUAACAUGACCCUAACUCAAAACAACUUUUUCUUACUGAGUUUUUGAA
This is a long non-coding RNA of Pyrgilauda ruficollis (rufous-necked snowfinch), 697 nucleotides long. RefSeq lists it as uncharacterized. The record is from RefSeq and is a predicted model, not a curated record. Lineage: Eukaryota; Metazoa; Chordata; Aves; Passeriformes; Passeridae. The transcript has 3 exons.